CAAUAGCGUAUAUUAAAGUUGUUGCAGUUAAAAAGCUCGUAGUUGAAUUUUUGCUUGCCGCCGAUGUCGGAACUUCCGUACGUUCGGCGGCGUGCAUCCUUGGGUGGAACCUGUGUGGCAUUAGGUUGUCGUGCAGGGGAUGCUCAUCGUUUACUGUGAAAAAAUUAGAGUGUUCAAAGCAGGCUUACGCCGUUGAAUAUAUUAGCAUGGAAUAAUAAGAUAGGACCUUGGUACUAUUUUGUUGGUUUGCGCACCAAGGUAAUGAUUAACAGGGACAGUUGGGGGUAUUCGUAUUCCAUUGUCAGAGGUGAAAUUCUUGGAUUUCUGGAAGACGAACUACUGCGAAAGCAUUUACCAAGGAUGUUUNCAUUAA
RNAcentral lists this ribosomal RNA (373 nucleotides) under uncultured eukaryote. RNAcentral describes it as "partial 18S ribosomal RNA". It matches the Rfam family "Eukaryotic small subunit ribosomal RNA", at positions 592 to 976 of the family's 1831-position model. The record is from RNAcentral.